RNAcentral lists this ribosomal RNA (253 nucleotides) under uncultured bacterium. RNAcentral's name for it is "partial 16S ribosomal RNA". It matches the Rfam family "Bacterial small subunit ribosomal RNA", at positions 524 to 776 of the family's 1533-position model. The record is from RNAcentral.
UACGUAGGGGGCAAGCGUUGUCCGGAUUUAUUGGGCGUAAAGAGCGCGUAGGCGGUCCGGUAAGUCCGCUGUGAAAGUCAAGGGCUCAACCCUUGAAUGCCGGUGGAUACUGUCGGGCUAGAGUGCGGAAGAGGCGAGUGGAAUUCCUGGUGUAGCGGUGAAAUGCGCAGAUAUCAGGAGGAACACCUAUUGCGAAGGCAGCUCGCUGGGACGUAACUGACGCUGAGACGCGAAAGCGUGGGGAGCAAACAGG